This 471-nucleotide ribosomal RNA is filed under the name uncultured organism. Its description in RNAcentral is "partial 16S ribosomal RNA". It matches the Rfam family "Bacterial small subunit ribosomal RNA", at positions 330 to 797 of the family's 1533-position model. The record is from RNAcentral.
CGUACACUCCUACGGGAGGCAGCAGUGAGGAAUAUUGGACAAUGGGUGGAAGCCUGAUCCAGCCAUCCCGCGUGCAGGAAGACGGCCCUAUGGGUUGUAAACUGCUUUUAUCUGGGGAUAAACCUACUUACGUGUAAGUAGCUGAAGGUACCAGAAGAAUAAGCACCGGCUAACUCCGUGCCAGCAGCCGCGGUAAUACGGAGGGUGCAAGCGUUAUCCGGAUUUAUUGGGUUUAAAGGGUCCGUAGGCGGACUGAUAAGUCAGUGGUGAAAUCCGACAGCUUAACUGUCGAACUGCCAUUGAUACUGUUAGUCUUGAGUAAGGUUGAAGUGGCUGGAAUAAGUAGUGUAGCGGUGAAAUGCAUAGAUAUUACUUAGAACACCAAUUGCGAAGGCAGGUCACUAAGUCUUAACUGACGCUGAUGGACGAAAGCGUGGGGAGCGAACAGGAUUAGAAACCCUGGUAGUCCCA